RNAcentral lists this ribosomal RNA (520 nucleotides) under Bifidobacterium pseudocatenulatum. RNAcentral describes it as "bacterial SSU rRNA". It matches the Rfam family "Bacterial small subunit ribosomal RNA", at positions 166 to 698 of the family's 1533-position model. Lineage: Bacteria; Bacillati; Actinomycetota; Actinomycetes; Bifidobacteriales; Bifidobacteriaceae. The record is from RNAcentral.
AUGCCGGAUGCUCCGACUCCUCGCAUGGGGUGUCGGGAAAGAUUUCAUCGGUAUGGGAUGGGGUCGCGUCCUAUCAGGUAGUCGGCGGGGUAACGGCCCACCGAGCCUACGACGGGUAGCCGGCCUGAGAGGGCGACCGGCCACAUUGGGACUGAGAUACGGCCCAGACUCCUACGGGAGGCAGCAGUGGGGAAUAUUGCACAAUGGGCGCAAGCCUGAUGCAGCGACGCCGCGUGCGGGAUGACGGCCUUCGGGUUGUAAACCGCUUUUGAUCGGGAGCAAGCCUUCGGGUGAGUGUACCUUUCGAAUAAGCACCGGCUAACUACGUGCCAGCAGCCGCGGUAAUACGUAGGGUGCAAGCGUUAUCCGGAAUUAUUGGGCGUAAAGGGCUCGUAGGCGGUUCGUCGCGUCCGGUGUGAAAGUCCAUCGCUUAACGGUGGAUCUGCGCCGGGUACGGGCGGGCUGGAGUGCGGUAGGGGAGACUGGAAUUCCCGGUGUAACGGUGGAAUGUGUAGAUAUC